Non-coding RNA from Aphanomyces astaci, 73 nucleotides. The record is from the annotation of a RefSeq genome assembly. Lineage: Eukaryota; Oomycota; Saprolegniomycetes; Saprolegniales; Verrucalvaceae.
GAAAACGUAGCGUAGUGGUUAAGGGGCCUUACUCUAAGUCUGGAGGUUGCGGGUUCUAAUCCCCCCAGUGCCA